This is a long non-coding RNA of Paramormyrops kingsleyae, 4378 nucleotides long. RefSeq lists it as uncharacterized. The record is from RefSeq and is a predicted model, not a curated record. Lineage: Eukaryota; Metazoa; Chordata; Actinopteri; Osteoglossiformes; Mormyridae.
GAAAGGUAGGCAGGCAGACUGAGCUCGCGACUCGGUGUCGCACAGCACGCCUGCUACCGCUGGCGGGGGAGGCGCAGGCGCACUGCGUGCACCAAAGCUGCGGAAGCGCCGCAAACUGCAUGGGAAACCUCUGCGCUCCAGGUAAAGGAAGCCUGGAAAAUCAGCAGGACUCAGCCCUUGAGGACCAUGAUUUGAAUAGCCUUGUCAUACACUAAUGAGGUAGGUACGCAGUUCAGGUAGCAGUCGAACGUUCUUGUGCAGUAGCUUAAAUAAGUACUGAGAAAAAAUAAUAUUUUGGGUUAUCAUUUUAUUCAGAUGAUUUAUGUUGAUGUAACAUCAUUUAUGAAACGUUCAAUAAUUUAUAAAAAUAGCUGUUCCAGCUACAGACUUGCAUUAAUCUUGAAUUUUUACAGCAUUGCUAGAUGCCAGUGUCCCGUAUAAACUCCCCUAUGUGUUUUUUUUUCCUCAUUCAGGGGCUUUUGUUCAGAAACUGUGGCAUGUUUUUGUCUUCAGUCUUGCAUCUUGUUAUGCUCACCAACUUCUUCUGUGCGGCAGAUACAGAUGAAGCAACAAUUCCCAAGAAUCUGACUGCAGGUCUGCUUAGGGAUAGGACUGAUGGUUCAUGCCAGUAAUGGGUCCUUGUCCUCUGAGUCACAGCGCGCAUGUUGGUACCUGCUGAACAGUGUUGUCGGGUUGACUUCACAUCAGUGUCAAAUCUGCGCCUAGCCCUCUUUUCACUGCGGCUGUAGAAAAAUUUGCGACACGUGCAAGACCCGGCGGUGAGCUUGACGCAGGUGCUCAGACAGGCUACUGGUGAAGUAGGAGUUGUCUCCCCCAUCUCAGAAGCCUGCCGCCUGUCAGCGAGGAGUCUUUUUUUUCUUGGUUUCAACAUCAUCUUUGCCAUAAACUGCGAGGUCUUUAAACCUUAUGUCAGCCACACCAUGAACGUUUGAUUGCCCAAGAAUCUACACUGACAUUGUGAUGCCAGUUGUGUGGCAAGGGAGUUGCCCUGAUGCACAGUGGAUGCAAGUUCUCUGUGAAGGAGGGACAUAAGAUUGAUAAUUUAUUGAUCCCUGUGGGGAAAUUGUCUUUACGCCUCCCUCAGCUUGCUCUUUGUAGAGUAAGCUGCCUGCGAAGGGCAGCCACCCAUAGCGGCGACCACUGAGCCACACUGCCCCCAUACACAGAAUACACAGAAAUAUGAUUUUCAGAUGAGCCCUCCCAUGACUCCUCUUCAAAAGGCCUCAGUGCCUCAGUUGUCAGGUGGAUCAGGAAUAGCUCUUCCUCACUCAGACACAGCGCCCCCUUGCAGACGGGCAGGAGGCUGCAGUCGCUGCUGCUCUCCCCUUAUACACAUUCUCUAACAUAUACUGUAACAGGCAGUAGACUGUCUUGUUUCUGCUGACUGAAUCAGCUUGUUCUAUUCUAAAUUCAGCUGCAUUUCACUGCUCCCAGACUUGUGUUAUGAUGCGUGGAGCAGGCAAGCAGGAAAGUAGGCGAGCAGAGUCGGUGACGCGGGUGUCUUGGCUCAAAGGUUCUAAAAAAUGCCCAAAAACCUCUGUUUUCAACAAUAGAGAGUGGCUGAAUUUCUCUGACAAUCAUCUCUACCAGGCAUCUUAUAAUCACUUUAGCUCUUGGAGAGUCAUCUACCCAAAACAGAAAUACUCAAGUCUAUGGACGACGAGCUACACUGCAUGUCCUUAAAGUAGGCCGGUCCUUAAGACACUUAACGUUACUAACUUAAUAAGCCUAGUCGGCUACCUACUUUAAAGGUGAAGUAGUCAAUAUGAAUUGUUUCAUUUUAAAAUGCACUUUGACAAAAUGACACAAUGGCUAACAGCAGAUUAUUGCUCAGAUUAGGCCUAAAUUGUGUUAAAUCUCCAUUUUAAAAAUCAACAUUAUCUGUUAGCCUGCUGUGGGUAGCUAGUGCAUAUUUAGUAGCUAAAAGUUGCAAAAUAGUGGAUGUAAGCCAUGUUAACUUAGCAGUAGUUAGUGUCCAGUUUUUCUAGAGUAAAAAUACUGCCCUGCUAGUCAGUUAAAAGUGGUUGCAUCAGCAGGUUUGAAAUCUGGCCCACGUGGUGCAUAUAAAUCAGACUAAUGUAGCUAGCUAUCUAUGCUUAGCUGUCUAUGCUUAGUUGUAGCUAGCUAAGUAACCGGGUUAAUGUAAAAUAGGUUCUAGCUAGUUAUCUGGCCACUUAGCUAUUGGGUCGUGCCUGUAUUACCCAGCAUGCCCUGCAGCUUCAGGCAUAACGAAAGAACUGAACUGUUGUGUUGUUCUGUUAUGCAUGUAAUUGUUGUGAGAUUUUUUGGAAAAAAAAAGAGUGUUUACUGUCGACCCUGAAUAUAAGUGCUAUUGAAAUUGACCACACUGGCUGUCACCAUGAGUACUCUUGUUGUGAGCUUCAUGUUCAUGUCACUAGUGUACACGGUGUUGAAUGAAGCUGCUAUCUCUUGGCGAUUCUGCUGGCUGGAAAUCCUCAGAGGUUCAGGAAGCCUCGUUUCACCAUCACUAACUCACUGACUUGUGCGGAGCUGGAAGAGCAGGUGGAAGGAGUAGUAGUCCCUAUCCUAACACUCACAUUUACGUUGGUCCUGCUUGUGCUUCAUGUCCUGCUCCCUAUUAUAAUAUAAACAUUGAAAUUACCAGGUACAAAGAAUGUUACAUUAGAAUCGAUUCUCAAAAUGAAACAUUCAGAUGGAAAGAAUCAAUGUAUCGAUCUGUACAUCCUUAGCCGCUCUGACAUGCCGCCCCCCUGAUGCAAAUACUAUUUUUUUUUCCCCUCAAUCAAAACAUUUUGCCACAGACACAGUAGUCCAUGUAGGGACAGGUUGACGAUCCCUCUGUUAAGUCCUAGCUGCUUAUUUACAGAUAGUGGGCAGCGCUGUUGUCUGACACCUCCACAGCUGGGCUGUUUGAAUCCCCCGUCCUGUUUGCACUGUAGCCUCAGUCACAUGGGCACCCUUAUCCUCCCACAGUGCUAUGCAUGCAGUUGGGUGAGAGGAUUUCUCUAAAAUGCCCAUAAUAUUUUUACAUGUCCUGUGAUUGCGUGUAAUCCCGCCCCCGUGGCCCCCACCAAGAUAAGUGAAUAGAGGACGCUGUUUUUACAUUGUUUGCUGAGAAAGCUAAAAAUCAGAACAGGCAAUUUCAUUCCUGUAAUUAGCUUUUAAGAAACAUCACUAUGCCAUCAAUCACUAGCUAGCCAAUAAGAACAUAAGAAAUUUUCAAACGAGAGGAGGCCAUUCGGCCCAUCAAGCUCGUUUGGGGAGAACUUAACUAAUAGUUCAGAGUUGUUAAAAUCUUAUCUAGCUCCGAUUUAAAGGAACCCAGAGUUUUAGCUUCUGCUACACACGCAGGAAGACUAUUCCAUACUGUGCUUUCAAUGUGCAGCCAUGCAGCAAAGGUAAAAUUAUCCUAAAUCACUUAAACCUUAAUGUUAACAGCACCAACACUUUCCAGUCCAUAUCUGUAUGCGUUAUUAUCUGUACAUUUCACCCUAUAUUUGGUCCAUAUAUCUUAGAAAACAUACAUGUAGAUUUUCAUUCAGAGCAAUUUUAGUUCUGAUCACAUCUUUUCAGUAAAAAUGUUGCUAGACCACCAACACUGCCGGUCAGAUUCGUCUCCUCCCUCCCGUCACCGUGAAAACAAAGCCGGUCUCCAAAUUAGCAUUGCAUAGUGAACGGCUUCCUGUUGUGAAUUCCAUUUGCAAGUACAAUGUGCCCAUGACUUGAAGAGAUGAGAUAUACAUCGACAUCCUGCCUGACGGACGUUGGCAGAAAGUCCUUCUUUGUCGUCCAGCUAAGCUGGGUACUGCAUCCAGUGACGCUUUCCUUAAACAGGCUGAGCCUUAAGUGGAGUGUGGUGAGAUUUAACAAUGAGGAAGUGUAGGCCUAUUUACUUUAUCUGGCUAUUAUUUAUUGUAAUAUGAACAAAAGGCUUUUAAAUGUGAUUAAAAAAAAAUCCAAACUUUGAGAUCCCAUCAAACAAAAAAGCUUGAUUUGCUGCCGGACAAACCACCAAAACAUUUCAGUGUUUUUAAUGCUGACUCACCAAAAGGGCAUCAUGUUGGAAAUCUGCUGCCACGUCUUCUACUCAUUAUCUCCAAAUCUAAUGUGUCCUUAUUGUAAAUGCAUGCAUUGGAGAUGCAGGCAGGUGCAGUGACAUGUACCACGUUUUAAAAGGGACCCACAUACAUUCACGCCAACCUGAAUAAGCCUAUUUCUAUGCGUGUGGUGGCCCGAAACAAUGCUUUUAAGAUGGGGUUGGGUGGAUCAGGUGACCAGAACUAUUCCUAUUCAUUGUACUUGUCCUGCAUACACGACAAAACAUAAAUCGGUAGUUCUCUUCUUUCACAACCCCAUUAAACUCACAAUUUUCCUC